ACACGGACAGACCCUCAUCUACCGCGCCUGACUGUCAUUCAGUCAGACCAGCACGGACUCACUGUCGUAGGGGUCCCUUCAUGUUGAGUAGGUUUUCAGUUUAGAGAGGGUUUUCUGCCUUGUUCUCAUCUGGUCCCUUUCCUUGUGUGGCCCAGGAGAAGCAGCCAUGCUGUGGGCUGUGUCUCUGCUCAAUUUCCUGCCUCUUGCAGUCAGUCAAACAUCUUCCAACAUGGACAUGGGAAUCAUCUCCAUCACCAGGACACCUGGGUCCACUGUGACCAUCACCUGUAAUUUGCAUAUUGGAAAGAGUUACGUCCACUGGUACCGAUUUCUGGAGGGCCAGGUCCCACAACGCCUUCUUUACUAUGACUUCACCAGUUCCAGGGCUGUGCUGGAUUCUGGAUUCAUAUCAAGGAAAUACAGUGCUCAUCAGGCCACACAGGAUAGCAAUAAAAUUGUGGUAUGGAACGUGGAAGAGAGCGACUCUGCCGUGUAUUACUGUGCAGUGUGGGCAGGCACAGUGCUUCACACCUGCUCAGCGCUGCACUGAAAAGUCCGCUUGUGGCUGCUCCUGGUGCACAGGACGGAUCAGCCUCCAGCUCACUUCCUGCCCUGAUUUCCUCUGUGUGGUGACUGACUUCAAUUUAUGAGUAGACUGUCUAAUUGUAUAUCCCUUUGCCAGAAGUGCAGUGUUUUUAUUAUAAUCACUUCAUAAGAAUUCCAAUAAGAAAUGAAAUUUUUAGACAUAGUGUAAUUCAACAGUGUUACAGAGAGCUGGGGGUAUAGCUUGGUGGCAUGGUGCCUGUCUGGUGAGCUCAAGGUCCUGAGUUCCAUUCCCUGUACUCAAACAAGCAAAAACAUUGUUAUACAGGCAUAAAUUGAAAAUAAAAGA
This is a non-coding RNA of Cavia porcellus (domestic guinea pig), 892 nucleotides long. The record is from the annotation of a RefSeq genome assembly. NCBI's taxonomy places the organism in Eukaryota, Metazoa, Chordata, Mammalia, Rodentia, Caviidae.